CCACCCCUUCCCAUCCCGAACAGGACCGUGAAACAACUUUGCGCCGAUGAUAGUGCUGCAACCAGUGUGAAAGUAGGUUAUCGUCAGGC
Molecule: ribosomal RNA, 89 nt
Filed under: Janthinobacterium lividum
Lineage: Bacteria; Pseudomonadati; Pseudomonadota; Betaproteobacteria; Burkholderiales; Oxalobacteraceae
Source: RNAcentral